CAGUCGCCACGGGAAUACGAAGGGGGCUAGCGUUGUUCGGAUUUACUGGGCGUAAAGGGCGCGUAGGCGGACUGAUAAGUCAGGGGUGAAAUCCCAAGGCUCAACCUUGGAACUGCCUUUGAUACUGUUUGUCUUGAGUUCGAGAGAGGUAAGUGGAACUGCGAGUGUAGAGGUGAAAUUCGUAGAUAUUCGCAAGAACACCAGUGGCGAAGGCGGCUUACUGGCUCGAAACUGACGCUGAGGCGCGAAAGCGUGGGGAGCAAACAGGAUUAGAUACCCCUGUAGUCCCUGUCUCUAUACA
RNAcentral lists this ribosomal RNA (301 nucleotides) under uncultured bacterium. Its description in RNAcentral is "partial 16S ribosomal RNA". It matches the Rfam family "Bacterial small subunit ribosomal RNA", at positions 509 to 808 of the family's 1533-position model. The record is from RNAcentral.